This 408-nucleotide ribosomal RNA is filed under the name uncultured bacterium. RNAcentral describes it as "bacterial SSU rRNA". It matches the Rfam family "Bacterial small subunit ribosomal RNA", at positions 505 to 916 of the family's 1533-position model. The record is from RNAcentral.
GUGCCAGCCGCCGCGGUAAUACGGAGGAUGCGAGCGUUAUCCGGAUUUAUUGGGUUUAAAGGGUGCGCAGGCGGCGUGCCAAGUCAGCGGUCAAAGUUCCGGGCUCAACCCGGUGAUGCCGUUGAAACUGGUGUGCUUGAGUGCGUGCGAGGGAGGCGGAAUGCGUUGUGUAGCGGUGAAAUGCAUAGAUAUGACGCAGAACUCCGAUUGCGAAGGCAGCUUUCCAGCACGCCACUGACGCUGAGGCACGAAAGCGUGGGGAUCGAACAGGAUUAGAUACCCUGGUAGUCCGCACAGUAAACGAUGAAUACUUGCUUUUGGCGAUACACUGUCAGAGGCAAAGCGAAAGCGAUAAGUAUUCCACCUGGGGAGUACGCCGGCAACGGUGAAACUCAAAUGAAUUGACGG